UAUUUGUAUAUUUUAUAAUUUUGUAAUUGUAAGCCCCUUUUUCUGUCCCAAAAAGGGUUGGGCCUGACCUUUCGUAGGUCCAAGGUUAGCCCCUCUAUAGGACCCCAAUACCCUAAUCAACUUUCUCAUUUUCUCUUGUCUCCCUUUUUCAGAAACAACAAUUUUCUCUUCCCCUCUUGUCUCCUGCAACGUGUUCUGCUAGGGCACAAGGUUUCUCCGUCUCAGAGCAAGCAAAACCCCUUUCUUUUUCCAGCUCUAUUCUAGCUUCGGCGGGAGCUGUGGUGCCCUUAGUUUCGGACCUGUUUGCUUAAGUUGCUCUCAAAACAGGAUGAUCACCCUUGAUGGGAGCAGAUGGGGGAAAUCCUAGGAGUAGGCCUGGUGGUAGCAGUGGUGCAGCUUAGGGGAUCCGUAUGUGUGACUCUCAGGAGUGGUUUUGUGGCGUUUGUGCCUAUUGUAAUUUCUUGCUCUGGGAGCAUCGUCUUUUGUAAAACUGUUAACCUCUUUGUGUUUGUUUUUAUAGCAUGGUGGUAUGCCUAUGUUUACUUUCAAAGUAUACCCCUGGAUGAUUGUAACAGUUACCUUUCUUAUCUUCUAUAUUCAUCUGAUUGCUUCUUA
This is a long non-coding RNA of Vigna unguiculata (cowpea), 615 nucleotides long. NCBI's taxonomy places the organism in Eukaryota, Viridiplantae, Streptophyta, Magnoliopsida, Fabales, Fabaceae. The record is from RefSeq and is a predicted model, not a curated record.